GGAUGGUCGGCGAAUUUGCCAAUCUUGCUUUGGUAAAUGUCUUGAGGCAUGAAUGUUGAUGAGGUUACGUGAUCAAACGCUCGAAGCAGUCAAGCUAGCAAGCAAGGAAAAAAAAGUUACUAAAGUACGUGACGUAUGUGUGAUGCUGGCUCAGGGAAAAUGUCAUCUUGCAGCAUCGUGAGGGUCCAGUGUCUCAGCCAUUUGCUUUGAUCAGUGCGAGGCGAAGGUCUCGGACUGUAAACUGCAUGAGCACCCGUCCAAAUAAGACACAAAGGCCUCAAAACACAACCAUAGCGACAGACAGAGAUCCAGCACAGAGCUUUUAAAGGAUCGGAAUCUUUGAGAGGGCAGAAGAAAGAAGCGUUCGGUGAUAAGGUGUACCUGUAUUUGUGAGGCAAUAAAGGAGAGGUCACAAACAACAGGAAGUGGAGCAGGGGGAGUGAAAGGUAAACAGGAACUGUUGUCAUAUGUGGAACUGAGACAGUGAUGAAUACAAGAAAACAAACACAUCUUUAUGUAGGUGUUCACAGGGCUCACGGUCUUCAAGCCACCAGCAUCUGAUAUCAUGCACAAGUUCUUGCUGAAGGACCUAAGUUCUCUUAGCCGGAGGCUUGAGCACCUGCACGCAGUGACCGCUGGUGGCUCUAGGACAAGAGGUUUGAUUGACAGCAGCCCCGGCUGGAGUGUUAUUCAUCAAGAGGAUGUAACACACACUGAUAGACGUCUUUAUACAGCUGUCAUUCCAAAGCUGUCUGUUCUUCAUCUCAGAGUAAAAAAAAAAGGUUGGUAGUGUAUAGUAAAUAUCGUUAUCUUAGAAUGAAAACCAUUGCGUCAAUGAGAGAUACUCAGUAGAGCUAAGGUCAGCAUGGAUCACAGAUGCACUGGUCUGACAGCACAACUCCAGAGCUGAGGCUUAAGAAAGCAAACACAACCUGCAGACACCCGUCCUGCCUGCUGCACACUCUUCUACUGACUCAUGUGCUUCACAGAUCAAGAGCAGAACUCUUCCAAAGACCCUUUCCAGGCACAGAUUAAGCCUGACCCCGGAAUAAAGUCCUCCACCAAUAGAGAUCCUAUUUAGAA
Cyprinus carpio (common carp) is the source of this 1083-nucleotide long non-coding RNA. The record is from Ensembl. Lineage: Eukaryota; Metazoa; Chordata; Actinopteri; Cypriniformes; Cyprinidae.